Molecule: transfer RNA, 82 nt
Filed under: Spirochaetes bacterium GWB1_36_13
Lineage: Bacteria; Pseudomonadati; Spirochaetota
Also listed under: 1 other name
Description: tRNA-Leu
Rfam family: tRNA
About the family: Transfer RNA (tRNA) molecules are approximately 80 nucleotides in length.
Source: RNAcentral
GCCCGGGUGGUGGAAUUGGCAGACACGCAGGUUUCAGGUACCUGUGGAGCGAUCCGUGUGGGUUCAAAUCCCACCUCGGGCA